UACAGAGGUCCCAAGCGUUGUUCGGAUUCACUGGGCGUAAAGGGUGCGUAGGCGGUCGGGUAAGUCUGACGUGAAAUCUCCAAGCUCGACUUGGAAAUGGCGUCGGAUACUAUUCGGCUGGAGGAAUGGAGGGGAGACUGGAAUUCUCGGUGUAGCAGUGAAAUGCGUAGAUAUCGAGAGGAACACCAGUGGCGAAGGCGAGUCUCUGGACAUUUCCUGACGCUGAGGCACGAAAGCCAGGGGAGCAAACGGG
Molecule: ribosomal RNA, 253 nt
Filed under: uncultured bacterium
Lineage: Bacteria
Description: partial 16S ribosomal RNA
Rfam family: Bacterial small subunit ribosomal RNA
Source: RNAcentral